UGCAAGUCGAGCGGAUGAAGGGGGCUUGCUCCUGGAUUCAGCGGCGGACGGGUGAGUAAUGCCUAGGAAUCUGCCUGGUAGUGGGGGAUAACGUCCGGAAACGGGCGCUAAUACCGCAUACGUCCUGAGGGAGAAAGUGGGGGAUCUUCGGACCUCACGCUAUCAGAUGAGCCUAGGUCGGAUUAGCUAGUUGGUGGGGUAAAGGCCUACCAAGGCGACGAUCCGUAACUGGUCUGAGAGGAUGAUCAGUCACACUGGAACUGAGACACGGUCCAGACUCCUACGGGAGGCAGCAGUGGGGAAUAUUGGACAAUGGGCGAAAGCCUGAUCCAGCCAUGCCGCGUGUGUGAAGAAGGUCUUCGGAUUGUAAAGCACUUUAAGUUGGGAGGAAGGGCAGUAAGUUAAUACCUUGCUGUUUUGACGUUACCAACAGAAUAAGCACCGGCUAACUUCGUGCCAGCAGCCGCGGUAAUACGAAGGGUGCAAGCGUUAAUCGGAAUUACUGGGCGUAAAGCGCGCGUAGGUGGUUCAGCAAGUUGGAUGUGAAAUCCCCGGGCUCAACCUGGGAACUGCAUCCAAAACUACUGAGCUAGAGUACGGUAGAGGGUGGUGGAAUUUCCUGUGUAGCGGUGAAAUGCGUAGAUAUAGGAAGGAACACCAGUGGCGAAGGCGACCACCUGGACUGAUACUGACACUGAGGUGCGAAA
RNAcentral lists this ribosomal RNA (707 nucleotides) under Pseudomonas aeruginosa. RNAcentral's name for it is "bacterial SSU rRNA". It matches the Rfam family "Bacterial small subunit ribosomal RNA", at positions 56 to 758 of the family's 1533-position model. The record is from RNAcentral. Lineage: Bacteria; Pseudomonadati; Pseudomonadota; Gammaproteobacteria; Pseudomonadales; Pseudomonadaceae.